This 565-nucleotide ribosomal RNA is filed under the name uncultured archaeon. RNAcentral's name for it is "bacterial SSU rRNA". It matches the Rfam family "Archaeal small subunit ribosomal RNA", at positions 259 to 824 of the family's 1478-position model. The record is from RNAcentral.
UACGACGGGUACGGGUUGUGAGAGCAAGAGCCCGGAGAUGGAUUCUGAGACACGAAUCCAGGCCCUACGGGGUGCAGCAGGCGCGAAAACUUUACAAUGCUGGCAACAGCGAUAAGGGAACCUCGAGUGCCAGAUUACAAAUCUGGCUGUCGAGAUGCCUAAAAAGCAUUUCAUAGCAAGGGCCGGGCAAGACCGGUGCCAGCCGCCGCGGUAACACCGGCGGCUCGAGUGGUAACCGUUAUUAUUGGGUCUAAAGGGUCUGUAGCCGGCCGGAUAAGUCUCUUGAGAAAUCUGGCAGCUUAACUGUCAGGCUUUCAGGAGAUACUGUCUGGCUCGAGGCCGGGAGAGGUGAGAGGUACUUCAGGGGUAGGGGUGAAAUCUUGUAAUCCUUGAAGGACCACCAGUGGCGAAGGCGUCUCACCAGAACGGACCUGACGGCAAGGGACGAAAGCUAGGGGCACGAACCGGAUUAGAUACCCGGGUAGUCCUAGCCGUAAACGAUACUCGCUAGGUGUCGGCCACGGUGCGACCGUUGUCGGUGCCGUAGGGAAGCCGUGAAGCGAGC